Molecule: ribosomal RNA, 376 nt
Filed under: uncultured bacterium
Lineage: Bacteria
Description: bacterial SSU rRNA
Rfam family: Bacterial small subunit ribosomal RNA
Source: RNAcentral
UACGGAGGAUGCAAGCGUUAUCCGGAAUUAUUGGGCGUAAAGCGUCCGUAGGUGGUUUAUCAAGUCUGCUGUCAAAGCGUGCGGCUUAACCGCAUAAGGGCAGUGGAAACUGAUGAACUAGAGUGCGAUAGGGGUAACAGGAAUUCCCAGUGUAGCGGUGAAAUGCGUAGAUAUUGGGAAGAACACCAGCGGCGAAAGCGUGUUACUGGGUCUGCACUGACACUGAGGGACGAAAGCUAGGGGAGCGAAAGGGAUUAGAUACCCCUGUAGUCCUAGCCGUAAACGAUGACAACUAGGCGUGGUUCGUAUCGACCCAAGCCGUGCCGUAGCCAACGCGUUAAGUUGUCCGCCUGGGGAGUACGCACGCAAGUGUGAA